Rhododendron vialii is the source of this 2304-nucleotide long non-coding RNA. RefSeq lists it as uncharacterized. The record is from RefSeq and is a predicted model, not a curated record. NCBI's taxonomy places the organism in Eukaryota, Viridiplantae, Streptophyta, Magnoliopsida, Ericales, Ericaceae. The transcript is spliced from 2 exons.
AUGCAUAGAGAAAUAUCGAAGAGGAAUCAGGAAACUAUGUGAGAUUUGAACCUUUUACUUACACUGAAGAUGGUUAUGAACCUAUAUACAGAGGAAAUCUCGAAGCUUGCAAUAUUGGCAAACAAGAGCAGCAUAGAAAACGGCUUCGUUUCUGCGCAAUCUUCAGAAAAAUGAAUUGCUAUGUUACUGCAUCUUCAGCUCUACCCUCCAUGAAACUGUUCAAUGUGCGACACUCACAUGAAGGUGAUUACCAGUGAGGUUUACCCAAUUGAUUUUAGUGAUAAUGUGGGUGCAAAACCAAGAAGAAAUAUAAAAGUCAGUCUGGACACUAAACCAGUUGCUGAAAACAGUGGGAGAACCAUCAGGAAAUCUACAGCACAAUAAGUCAAAGGACAUCUGUUAACAAGAAAGCAUAGACGUAAUUGAGAACGAAAUACAAUAAGAAAUGUUUCAAAUUGAAAAUGCAAUCAUGGUAAUUUCUCGGUUAAGCACCUGACCUGCUCUUCUCGUAAGUAGUAAGUAGACCUGCCAACGGGUGUUUAUAUCUAACAGGUUCAAGUGAUAUUUUCAGACUAGACACAUCAAAUUUCACUAUACAACGAGCAAUAAGCAGUUUAAGUGAAGCAACCAAGUAUUCAUGAAAUAAAAAUAAGUAGAAAAGAGAUAAAACGCAUCAGUUCCAGAAAGAUAUCAACUAAUUGGCGUGAAAAUAAAAAAAAACAGGGAAACAAGGAUAAUGGGGGCAAUAACUCCAAUUGCUGAAGGGAAACUUAGAGUAGUACACGUAAAAUAAACACGAGCAGAAAGAUGAGAAAGUCAUAAGUGUACCAGGCUACCAGCAAUGAACCAGUUAUAUCAGUUGAUGUGGUGGAAGAAGUUCUUGGUUGUGCAUUUUGUGUGAUGUUGAUAAAAGCACCAUGACUGAAGAUAACCCAACCAAAGGAGCCUGAGUUUAAUGUAGCAACGGACGGACAAAUAAAGCUUAUGUAUAUCCCGUUAACUUUCAAUAUCAGACCUGACCCCAAGAAAACCAAAACUCAUGGCUGCGGGAGCUUAUGGCUAUCCCCUAAGAGCAAAGAUAUGAGUUUAAUGGGUUUGAGUGAACAAGUAGUCCUUGAUAGAGCUCAAUGGAGAAAAUGGAUUCAUAUAGCCAACCCCAAUUGAUUGGGACAUAAGACCCGGCUUGGUUUGGUUUAUGUAUUGUAGAGACUAUAAAUUAGUCAAUAACAAAACUACAAAAGUUGAUCUAUUAACAUCUAGUGAUGAACAUAUAAUAAGCAAAAAGGCUUGAAGUACCCAGAAAUUUCACAGGCUUCAUUAAGAGAGCCAAAUAUGAAGACGUGUGACGGAUAACCCAUGUCAAGGCUCAUUGUAUAUAUGAAUUGAAUUGACUCCUACACCCUCUCUGAUAAGUCGCGAUAAUAUUACAGAAGCAAAAUCACCAUAUGUACUUGACUCACACAGUCACACCAGCAAUUGUUUCAAGUAGUUGCCAUUAUUUGUGCUACUAGAAACUUCAACUACUACUCAAGUUCCCCGUUAUGUAUUAGUAUGUCGUAAAUUAUGGCACAAAACAAACCCACCCUCACCCAUGCAUACUUGGAAUGCAAAAAGUUAGUCAUUGGCAUGCAAGUAUUGCAAGUAAAAAGGAAGUAAAAACCCUGGUUUUGGCAGAAAAGAUUUCCAGAAGGUAACAUGCACACGUACACAGACACAAGUAGUUAUGUGUGUGUAUGUCUUGUCUACAAGAGUACACUUGUGCAUUAACAUUAUAAUACCAAGGGGUGAUUUAUGCAUUAACAUUUUUUUUUUUUUGAUAAGUAUGCAUUAACAUUAUAAUAACACGGGGUGAUUUUUGUAUUUGAGAUUUCAAAGGGGAUAUCUGAAGAAAGCAGUAAGUUAAAAGCUCCAGUCGACAGACAAAGGCUCUAAUUGAUGAACAAGUACUUGUGAAUCGGGGAAUUUCUCGCCAUUGUGAGAAGAAAUGAUUCCAGACGAUGAACUCCUCCUUUAAGGUUAUUCUUUGUUGGUAUCUCCAGUUAAUAGAUUAACAAGACAUACUGACCAUUAAUAAAUCUAAUACUUGUAAGAACCUCCAGAGUUCCAGACAGACAUGCGGACUAGAAAACGAACUACUACUACUUCUCCUCCUUUCCCUGCUCUUUUUUGUCUAUGCGAGCAGAUAUAGCUAGACAACACUCCACCUUCAUCAAGAUGCGAAGCGAGAGGGGUAUUCUCACCAUCGUAAUCUUCCUGUUUUGGCUCUUCCUCUCCCACACACUGUAAGUCUUCUCCCUGACCAGC